GACCUGGCCGGGCGGUCCUCCUCACGGUGCGUACUGUCUGGCUGGGCCUUACCUCUUGGUGAGCCGGCAUGCCCUUUACUGGGUGUGUCGGGGAACCAGGACUUUUACCUUGAGAAAAUUAGAGUGUUCAAAGCAGGCCUAUGCCUGAAUACGUUAGCAUGGAAUAAUGAAAUAGGACGUGCGGUUCUAUUUUGUUGGUUUCUAGAGUCGCCGUAAUGAUUAAUAGGGAUAGUUG
RNAcentral lists this ribosomal RNA (235 nucleotides) under uncultured Paraglomus. RNAcentral describes it as "partial 18S ribosomal RNA". The stretch from base 91 to 235 matches the Rfam family "Eukaryotic small subunit ribosomal RNA", at positions 738 to 884 of the family's 1831-position model. The record is from RNAcentral. Lineage: Eukaryota; Fungi; Glomeromycota; Glomeromycetes; Paraglomerales; Paraglomeraceae.